UACGGGGGGGGCAAGCGUUGUUCGGAAUUACUGGGUUUAAAGGGUGCGUAGGUGGAUUGGUAAGUCAGUGGUGAAAUACUUUCGCUUAACGAAGGAACUGCCAUUGAUACUACCAGUCUUGAAUACAGUGGAGGUAGGCGGAAUGCGUCAUGUAGCGGUGAAAUGCUUAGAUAUGACGCAGAACACCAAUUGCGAAGGCAGCUUGCUACACUGUUAUUGACACUGAGGCACGAAAGCGUGGGGAUCAAACAGG
Molecule: ribosomal RNA, 253 nt
Filed under: uncultured bacterium
Lineage: Bacteria
Description: partial 16S ribosomal RNA
Rfam family: Bacterial small subunit ribosomal RNA
Source: RNAcentral